RNAcentral lists this ribosomal RNA (482 nucleotides) under uncultured bacterium. Its description in RNAcentral is "partial 16S ribosomal RNA". It matches the Rfam family "Bacterial small subunit ribosomal RNA", at positions 29 to 507 of the family's 1533-position model. The record is from RNAcentral.
AUUGAACGCUGGCGGCAUGCCUUACACAUGCAAGUCGAACGGUAACGCGGGGCAACCUGGCGACGAGUGGCGAACGGGUGAGUAAUGCAUCGGAACGUGCCCAGAAGUGGGGGAUAGCCCGGCGAAAGCCGGAUUAAUACCGCAUGAGACCUGAGGGUGAAAGCGGGGGAUCGCAAGACCUCGCGCUUUUGGAGCGGCCGAUGUCAGAUUAGCUAGUUGGUGGGGUAAAGGCCUACCAAAGCGACGAUCUGUAGCUGGUCUGAGAGGACGACCAGCCACACUGGGACUGAGACACGGCCCAGACUCCUACGGGAGGCAGCAGUGGGGAAUUUUGGACAAUGGGCGCAAGCCUGAUCCAGCCAUGCCGCGUGCGGGAAGAAGGCCUUCGGGUUGUAAACCGCUUUUGUCAGGGAAGAAACGCUCUGGGCUAAUACCCUGGGGUAAUGACGGUACCUGAAGAAUAAGCACCGGCUAACUACGUG